CAUCGUUCCGUGUGGCCUGAUUUAGUUUCUAAUAAUACUUCUGACUUUGGGAUGGAUGUUGGAGCGUUGUUUUGUUGUAGUUUUGCUGCUUUUGCCGACCUUGGGCAAGUGGAAGUUCUGUUUUCUGUUGAGAAGCCACAACGUUUCAUUCUCUUUCCAUUGUACAGGUUUUUGUUUGUUUGAGACGGAGUCUCGCUCUGUCACCCAGGCUGGAGUGCAGUGGUGCAAUCUCUGCUCACUGCAACCUCCGCCUUCCGAGUUCAAGCGAUUCUCCUGCCUCAGCCUCCAGAGUAGCUGGGACUACAGGCACCCGCCACCACUCUCAGCUAAUUUUUGUAGUUUUAGUAGAGACGGGGUUUCACCAUGUUGACCAGGAUGGUCUCGAUCUCUUGACCUCGUGAUCCGCUUGCCUCGGCCUCCCAAAGUGCUGGGAUUACAGGCGUGAGCCGCGGCGCCCGGCCUGUACAUUGUUUUUAAAACUCCAGCCACCUUUUUACCCCCACCAUAAAAUUAUACACAAAUGACAGCC
RNAcentral lists this long non-coding RNA (529 nucleotides) under Homo sapiens (human). Its description in RNAcentral is "LHRI_LNC303.1". The record is from RNAcentral. Lineage: Eukaryota; Metazoa; Chordata; Mammalia; Primates; Hominidae.